This is a long non-coding RNA of Penaeus chinensis, 704 nucleotides long. RefSeq lists it as uncharacterized. The record is from RefSeq and is a predicted model, not a curated record. The transcript is spliced from 3 exons. Lineage: Eukaryota; Metazoa; Arthropoda; Malacostraca; Decapoda; Penaeidae.
AGGGUUGGAAGAUAGUGAACUUGCCUGCUAUCCUAGCUGCCUGGAUCAUGGCCAAGGGCGAGAAACUGGGAGGCCAACCAGUCAUCCACUUGGCGGUGUCUAAGGAAGUGGACAAUGUGUCUGGGAAGUACUUGGUUGACUACAAGGAAGCCCCUUCCUCCACACUGGCACAGGAUCCGAUACUGGCAAGGCGCUUGUGGGAUGCCAGCGAGAAUUUAGUUGACUUUCAAUCUUAAGAAUUAGUCGACCUUCAACCUUGGGAAAUAGCUGACCUGCAAUUAUAAUACCUUUAUAGUCAUCAAUAAAAAAUCGCCGUUAGUCAUUCAAAAUAUGCUUCUUUGACAUUUAGAAAUUCAGAUCAGAAGAAAAAAAAGUGAACGCACAGACCCGGUCAUAUCGAGAAAUGAUUACAUCCCUGUGUCUUUUCUCGUGGAGAGGACUAUUACCGACUUAUUGAAAUCUCGCCACAACACGCUUACCUGAGACUUUUCCAUUUGCUUAAAGAUAAAAACAUGGAAAGAGUAUCCUUGUAUUCUGAGAGUUCAGACCUAGGAAAAUAGGGCAUAUAGGCAAUAGUUAUAGUAAGAGCCCUCGAUAUUUUACUCCCUGAUUUGUAUUCCAUCUCUAGAAAAUUGCAUAUUUUUUCUGCAUAAAUAAAGACUAUACUUACGUAAUUUGCAAUAUUCCAAUACAUUGAAAAAUGA